Molecule: long non-coding RNA, 512 nt
Organism: Danio aesculapii
Lineage: Eukaryota; Metazoa; Chordata; Actinopteri; Cypriniformes; Danionidae
Exons: 3
Source: RefSeq, a predicted model, not a curated record
AAUUCUGAUGUAGAUAUCCUCUGUCGGCUCAUUUAGACUGUUUACAUGCUGCUUUAUUGCUGAACUCACAGUCAGACCUUCAGAAGAACACAUGGAUCAGUUGUGACUAUCUACCUCUGCGUCUUCCUGCAACAUUGCCUUCCAUACUUAUUCAGUAACAGGUUUGACUGAAUCUUUCUCUGUGUCUCAGAUGAGGAGGAUGUGAAGCUCAGGAUUGGUCAACACAUCGUCUACACAUCAAUCUACAGACAAACAUCACAUUUGAAUAAAGAUUUAAUGAUGAAAACCUGAUCAAUGUGUCAAUGUUGUGCCCACUGGUGGAUGAUUUGUGUAUCUGCAUGAAAACAGCAAGAGGACAGAAAGUGAAGAGUGUGUAAUCCUGCAGCUGUAGAGCAGUUUAAGAUCAAGCCUCAUUAAAAACACCUGAAGCUGCUAAUCAAUCAAGCUCAUCAGCACUGAUAGAAAUCUCCUGACUCAACUCUUUUCUUUAUUCAAGUAAAAAUGAAGAUGAA